Triticum aestivum (bread wheat) is the source of this 3783-nucleotide RNA transcript. It is a transcript of the gene named crossover junction endonuclease MUS81, with no coding region annotated. The transcript is spliced from 7 exons. Lineage: Eukaryota; Viridiplantae; Streptophyta; Magnoliopsida; Poales; Poaceae. The record is from RefSeq and is a predicted model, not a curated record.
UCCUCCCCACGCCCAAACCCCCUCCCCACUCCCCCGCAGUCCCCUCCCAAUCCCUCACUCCCACGCCCCCGACCCUCGGCGCAGACGGCGCCGUCGGUGCCGAGGAAGAAGCGCAAGGUGAGCCUCCCGAAGAACGAGGAGGUCGCGGCCAGGAUCUUCGAGAAGCACCGCUCCAUGGCAGCGCAGCAGCCGGCCGGCCUCCCGGACCACCAGCACCAGGCUCGCGCGCUCUGCACCGCCUACACCGGCGUCUGCGCCGCCAAGUAGCCCGUCCGGACCCCCGGCGACCUGUCUCAAGGGAGUUGGAGGUUGGGUUGUUGACGUCAUGGAAGUCUCCUUUCAGGGUCCAGCCUUGAUUUGUCCCCUCCGAGAAGUAAUACACCAGGAGAAACGGGGAAGAACACACUAAACAAACCUUAUGUGCCAUGGUUGAAAUCAGCUGCUUAUGCAAUAAUGAUCACACUCUACAGGGAAAUGGAAAGAGGGAAGGAAUUUAUGAUGAGGCAAGAGCUUAUUGACGCUGCUGAGGCCAGUGGUCUGUCACAACAUGCAAUAGACCCAAACAACAGUAGGAAUUCUUGGAAUGAUGGUUACAGUUACACUGGAUGGAAUAGCAUGAAGACGUUAACAAAUAAGGAUUUGGUUGAGAAAAAGAGUAAUCCUGCAAAGUAUUACCUAACAGAAAAAGGCAAAGAGACAGCUCGCGAUUGUCUCGCAUGAUCUGGAUUGGACGGUCCUGCAGGACCUUUAACAGCGGCCGGUCAUCCUGCAGUUGUGCUCAGCGAUGCAGGUUCUGAUGAAUAUGACGGAAGAAGUCCCCUGAUAGCAGGCCUAAUCAGGCUCCGGAGGAGGGGGCAGCAGCGGGGGCGCCACACGGAAGGCCAUCGAGCAAAGAUCGGCGAGGUGGGUGUUGAUGGUGUCCCGAUCCUGGGGCCGGCUAAGCGGCCACCAAAGUUGCAGGUAACCACACAUUUUAAAGAUCGCGUCAAUUGCACAUCGGAGAGGUACUUUCUGAAUAACAAGCUUGUUGUGGAUGGUCCAAGCGUCCAGGCGAGGACCCAACGCACAACCAUCUAAUAUGGCGGUGGCGAGGGGCGGAGGCGUGGAUCUCCGCAAGCAGGUCCGGGAAGUUGGUGUUGCACCACUGUCCACCGACCGUCUCGCGAAGGCAGGACCACAGGAAUUGGGCCGUGGAGCAGGAGAAGAAGAUGUGGUUAGCAUCCUCCACUGUGCCACACAGGGGCAUAUCCCGUCUCCUGGUCCAUUACGCUUGAGGACCUCUACCCCAGAGGGAAGGCGUCCUCGGAUCCACUGCCACAGGAAGAUCCUGAUCUUCAGAGGAAGGCGAAUGUCCUAGAUCAGGCUAAAGGGCUCAGGGGCCAACGAGGGAGCGAUAGCCGAGUAUAAGGACUUAGUGGAGAAGCGGCCGGAGGGCUCCAGUCGCCAAGAGAUGGAGUUAGGGGCACCCUUGACGUCCAUCGGUAGAAGGGCAAUGUCCUGGAGGAGGGAGUCCCAAGCGGCCACCUCAAGGGGGCCGAUGUGGCGCCGCAAAGCGAGACGCCCUAAGUCAAUAAGGGCCCUCUUGAUAGAGAACCGAGGGUCAACCGCUAUGGAGAAUAGUUUCGGGAAUCGGGCGGCCAGGGGGGAGUCCCCCGCCCAAUGAUCGAACCAGAACAGGGUCGAGGACCCGGAGCCAACCAAGAUGGACGUGCCAAUGCGGAGCACGGGUAGAAGCUGAAUCACAGUCUGCUAGAACUGGGAGCCACCAGAACGUUGACAGAAAGCUAAGGUUGGCCUCGAAGGUACUUAUUGCAGAUGAUGGUAAGCCAGAGUCCUCCCUCCCCAUUGGCGAUUCACCAGAGCCAUCGGGUCAGGAGAGCAAUGUUCAUGCGCCGAGAAGACAAGAUCCCAAGUCCUCCCUGGUCCUUGGGUUUGCAAAUGUCGGGCCAGCUCACCAUAUGGUAUUCCUGCUUUUCUCCCUCGCCUGCCCAGAAAAACCUGGACCGAUAUUUGGCGAUCUCCUGAUGGAGAGUCUCAUGAAGGCUGUAGAAGCUCAUGAGAAGCCAGAGGAGGCUGGCAAGCGAGGAGUUGAUGAGGAUCACCCUGGCCGCCUUCGAGAGCCACCUCCCCUUCCAAGGCUCCACCCGGUGCUGCAUCCGAGUCAUUGCGGGCGCAGGUCAGCUACGGUGAGUCGCGAGUCACUAAUGGGUAUCCCCAAAUAAGUCAUGGGGAAAGUACCCAGCCGACAGUUCAGACGGUCGGCCAUGGCUUGGGCCUCCUCAGGGGAGUAGCCCAGAAUCAUCACUUCGCUCUUAUCGAAGUUGAUGGUGAGCCCGGACAUCUGUUGGAAGCAUGGGAGGAGGAACUUUAGGUUGGCUAUGUCGGACAUGGAGCCCUCCACCAUUAUUAUGGUAUUGUCUGCAUAUUGUAGGAGGGAGACCCCCCCCCUACCAGGUGAGGGACUACGCCGUGGAUAUGGCCAGCAGAUUUGGCCUUAUCCAGGAUGACAGCAAGGGCAUCGACCACGAUGUUAAACAGAAACGGGAAGAACGGGUCAUCCUGGCGAACCCCAUAGAGAGUGGGGAAGUAUGGACCUAUCUCUCCGUUAAUGUUAACCGCGGUCCGAUCGCAGGUGACGAGCUGCAUAACUCUGGUUACCCACCGGUCAUCAAAGCCCUUGCGGAGCAAGACUUCCCGAAGGAAGGGCCAGUGAACCGUGUCAUGGGCUUUAUGGAAGUCGAGCUUCAGGAAGACCGCUCGAUGGUGCUUGGACCGAACUUCAUGAAGAACUUUGUGGAAGACUAACACCCCAUCCAGAAUAAACCGCCCUUGGAUGAAGGCAGAUUGGUUGGGGUGGGCGACGGUGUCAACUAGAAGGGUCACCCUAUUGGCGUACCCCUUGGCCAAGAUCCGGAAUAUCACAUUGAUCACAGUGAUAGGCCGAAAUUGGCGGAUGUCAGAAGCACCCGAAACUUUGGGGAUGAGUGUGAUGACCCCAUAGUUUAGGCGCCAAAGGUCCAUGGCCCCCGAGUAGAAUUCAUCGAAGAGGGCCAUGACUUCCGGUUUGAUGGUUUGCUAGAACGUUUUGAAAAACGUCACUGGCAGCCCAUCCGGAGCCGGGGCCGAGGAGGUGUUCAUACCCUUUAUGGCCAUGAGGACCUCGUCCUCGGAGAAAGGCGCCACCAAGGCGACAUUCGCCUCGUCAGACACUAACUGGGCAGCUGACCAAGUGUCGGGGGCCAGUGCCGCCCCACCCCUAGGGGUGGCGGAAAAUAGGGCUUUAUAAAAGCCAUCGACGUGGACUCGGAUGUCCGAAGGACGGACGAGAGGGGUAUCUCCAUCCCACAAGCAAUGGAUGGAGUUCCGGCGCCGCUGCCCAUUGGCAAUCGCCUGGAAGUAAGCUGUAUUGGCGUUUCCACGGAGCACCCACUGUUGGGUGCUGCGGAGCCUCCAGUAUGCUUCUUCAUCCGUGUAGAUGGUCGAGAGCUGAUCCUCGAGAUCAUAUCUCAGCAUCCACUCAUCCGGGGAAAUCCCGGAAGUGUCAGCGUAGGCGUCUAGGGCUUGGAUGGCAAUCAGGAGGGCUUUCUUGCGCUCGCCAAGGUCCCACCCAAGGUUCAUGCCCCACCCCUUCAUAAAUUGGCGGGCGAGCUUGGCACAGAACUGCCACGAGUCAACGGCGGACAUGGAGCGGUGGGAAGAUGAGCGUGCGGAGAUCCACUUAGCCGCGACCGCCUCGAGGAAUCCCACCUAGUUGAGCCAGAAGAGCUCAAACCAAAAAACGCA